This 468-nucleotide ribosomal RNA is filed under the name uncultured bacterium. RNAcentral's name for it is "partial 16S ribosomal RNA". It matches the Rfam family "Bacterial small subunit ribosomal RNA", at positions 28 to 507 of the family's 1533-position model. The record is from RNAcentral.
GACGAACGCUGGCGGCGUGCUUAACACAUGCAAGUCGAACGGAAAGGCCCUGCUUGUGUGGGGUGAUCGAGUGGCGAACGGGUGAGUAACACGUGAGUAACCUGCCCUUGACUUUGGGAUAACUUAAGGAAACUGGGGCUAAUACCGGAUAGGAGCUCCUGCUGCAUGGUGGGGGUUGGAAAGUUUCGGCGGUUGGGGAUGGACGCGCGGCUUAUCAGCUUGUUGGUGGGGGAGUGGUUUACCAAGGCUGUGACGGGUAGCCGGCCUGAGAGGGUGACCGGCGACAUUGGUACUGCGGUACGGCCCAGAGUGGUAUGGUGGGCAGCAGUGGCGAAUAUUGUACAACGGGCGGACGUCUGAGGCAGCAACGCCGCGUGCGUGAUGCCGUCCUUCGGGUUGUAAACCGCUGUCGCCUGUUACGAAGCGGGAGUGACGGUAAUGAGUAAAGAAGCACCGGCUAACUACGUG